AUUAGACGAAUCAUCUGGAAAGAUGAAUCAAAGAAGGUAAUAAUCCUGUAGUCGAAAAUGUUGUCUCUCUUGAGUGGAUCCUGAGUACGACGGAGCACGUGAAAUUCCGUCGGAAUCUGGGAGGACCAUCUCCUAAGGCUAAAUACUCUCUAGUGACCGAUAGUGAACCAGUACCGUGAGGGAAAGGUGAAAAGCACCCCGGAAGGGGAGUGAAAUAGAACCUGAAACCGUGUGCUUACAAGUAGUCAGAGCCCGUUAAUGGGUGAUGGCGUGCCUUUUGUAGAAUGAACCGGCGAGUUACGAUUUGAUGCAAGGUUAAGCAGUAAAUGUGGAGCCGUAGCGAAAGCGAGUCUGAAUAGGGCGUUUAGUAUUUGGUCGUAGACCCGAAACCAGGUGAUCUACCCUUGGUCAGGUUGAAGUUCAGGUAACACUGAAUGGAGGACCGAACCGACUUACGUUGAAAAGUGAGCGGAUGAACUGAGGGUAGCGGAGAAAUUCCAAUCGAACCUGGAGAUAGCUGGUUCUCUCCGAAAUAGCUUUAGGGCUAGCCUCAAGUGAUGAUUAUUGGAGGUAGAGCACUGUUUGGACGAGGGGCCCCUCUCGGGUUACCGAAUUCAGACAAACUCCGAAUGCCAAUUAAUUUAACUUGGGAGUCAGAACAUGGGUGAUAAGGUCCGUGUUCGAAAGGGAAACAGCCCAGACCACCAGCUAAGGUCCCAAAAUAUAUGUUAAGUGGAAAAGGAUGUGGCGUUGCCCAGACAACUAGGAUGUUGGCUUAGAAGCAGCCAUCAUUUAAAGA
RNAcentral lists this ribosomal RNA (799 nucleotides) under Staphylococcus aureus. RNAcentral's name for it is "partial 23S ribosomal RNA". It matches the Rfam family "Bacterial large subunit ribosomal RNA", at positions 328 to 1129 of the family's 2925-position model. Lineage: Bacteria; Bacillati; Bacillota; Bacilli; Caryophanales; Staphylococcaceae. The record is from RNAcentral.